Molecule: long non-coding RNA, 581 nt
Organism: Erpetoichthys calabaricus (reedfish)
Lineage: Eukaryota; Metazoa; Chordata; Cladistia; Polypteriformes; Polypteridae
Exons: 2
Source: RefSeq, a predicted model, not a curated record
UCUCCUCAGUGGAUGAGCAAGGAAAAGAAGUGAGUAGCAGUAUUAGUAGUAAUAGUAAUAUUUUUUCUCAAUUAAGUUUGCCUGACAUGAGAGGUGCUUCAAAAUAACUAAGUAAAGAGUCAAUGAAAAAAAAAUACUAAUAAGACAAAAGUCAAAAAAAUGUAAAAUACUGUACAAUAGCAGAGAUUUACAAAGGCCACAACUUUAUUAAGAACAAGAAUAACACCAAGAGACCUAGUAACACAAAAGGGCCAAGAUAUUAAAAAUGCAAUAAAGAAGCAAAAGAGACAUAGCAAUGCAAAACAUCACAGGUUUAAGAUCAAAGAAUGGCAAUCUGCACUAAACUUUACUAACUCAGGUGGCUGGUCUGUUAGCGGCUCAUCUGAAUAUUUGGGGGUCCCACCUCCUUGGGCUUAACAUAAAGAGGAAUGAGUUUCAAAUGAAUUAAAACAAAACAAUUAUGAUACUCUAGGUAAAUCAAUACAAAAUUAUUAACAACAAUGAUAACUAAUGAAAUUUAAUUAAAUACAGAAAGAAUAGAAACACAAAAACAUUUUAUUAGGAAAAAGAAAAUAAAUAAU